RNAcentral lists this ribosomal RNA (488 nucleotides) under uncultured bacterium. RNAcentral describes it as "partial 16S ribosomal RNA". It matches the Rfam family "Bacterial small subunit ribosomal RNA", at positions 28 to 507 of the family's 1533-position model. The record is from RNAcentral.
GACGAACGCUGGCGGCGUGCUUAACACAUGCGAGUCGAACGGAAAGGCCCUGCUUUUGUGGGGUGCUCGAGUGGCGAACGGGUGAGUAACACGUGAGUAACCUGCCCUUGACUUUGGGAUAACUUCAGGAAACUGGGGCUAAUACCGGAUAGGAGCUCCUGCUGCAUGGUGGGGGUUGGAAAGUUUCGGCGGUUGGGGAUGGACUCGCGGCUUAUCAGCUUGUUGGUGGGGUAGUGGCUUACCAAGGCUUUGACGGGUAGCCGGCCUGAGAGGGUGACCGGCCACACGGGAAAUGAGACACGGGGCAGAGGCAUAGGGGAGGCAGCAGUGGGGAAGGUGGGACAGUGGGAGCAAGCCGGAUCGAGGGAUACCGCGUGGGUGAAGAAGACCUGCGGGGUGUAGAGCCCGUUGGUGGGGAAAGAAAAGCAGCAGGUGAAUACCCAGCUGGUGUGACGGGACCCAAAGAAUAAGCACCGGCUAACUUCGUG